CCUACGGGAUGCAGCAGUGGGGAAUAUUGCGCAAUGGGCGAAAGCCUGACGCAGCGACGCCGCGUGAGGGAUGAAGGUCUUCGGAUCGUAAACCUCUGUCAGCAGGGAAGAACGGUCACUGUGCUAAUCAGCAGUGAAUUGACGGUACCUGCAAAGGAAGCACCGGCUAACUCCGUGCCAGCAGCCGCGGUAAUACGGAGGGUGCGAGCGUUAAUCGGAAUUACUGGGCGUAAAGCGCUCGUAGGCGGUAUGUCAAGUCAAGGGUGAAAUCCCCGCGCUCAACGUGGGAACUGCCUUUGAAACUGGCAAACUGGAGUGUGUGAGAGGAUAGUGGAAUUCCAGGUGUAGGAGUGAAAGCCGUAGAGAUCUGGAGGAACAUCAGUGGCGAAGGCGACUAUCUGGCACAUAACUGACGCUGAGGAGCGAAAGCGUGGGUAGCAAACAGGAUUAGAUACCCCUGUAGUC
RNAcentral lists this ribosomal RNA (465 nucleotides) under uncultured bacterium. RNAcentral's name for it is "partial 16S ribosomal RNA". It matches the Rfam family "Bacterial small subunit ribosomal RNA", at positions 338 to 795 of the family's 1533-position model. The record is from RNAcentral.